Molecule: ribosomal RNA, 478 nt
Filed under: uncultured bacterium
Lineage: Bacteria
Description: bacterial SSU rRNA
Rfam family: Bacterial small subunit ribosomal RNA
Source: RNAcentral
AUGGCUCAGGAUGAACGCUGGCGGCGUGCUUAACACAUGCAAGUCGAACGAAGAUGCCGGAGUGCUUGCACUUUGGCAGACUGAGUGGCGGACGGGUGAGUAACGCGUGGGUAACCUGCCUUAUACAGGGGGAUAACAGUUGGAAACGACUGCUAAUACCGCAUAAGCGCACGGUAUCGCAUGAUACAGUGUGAAAAACUCCGGUGGUAUAAGAUGGACCCGCGUCUGAUUAGCUUGUUGGUGAGGUAACGGCCCACCAAGGCGACGAUCAGUAGCCGGCCUGAGAGGGUGAACGGCCACAUUGGGACUGAGACACGGCCCAAACUCCUACGGGAGGCAGCAGUGGGGAAUAUUGCACAAUGGGGGAAACCCUGAUGCAGCGACGCCGCGUGAGUGAUGAAGUAUUUCGGUAUGUAAAACUCUAUCAGCAGGGAAGAUAAUGACGGUACCUGACUAAGAAGCACCGGCUAAAUACGUG